AGCAGCCGCGGUAAUUCCAGCUCCAAUAGCGUAUAUUAAGUUGUUGCAGUUAAAAGCUCGUAGUUGAAUUUCAGGAUUGACACAUCGGUCGUGCCUUAAGGGGUAUGAACUGGUGUAGUCAAUUUCUCACCUUCUGGAGAACCGCGAUGUCCUUAAUUGGGUGCCGCGAGGAACCAGGACCUUUACUUUGAAAAAAUUAGAGUGUUUAAAGCAGGCAUUUUUUGCUUGAAUACAUUAGCAUGGAAUAAUAAAAUAGGACGGCAUGAUUCUAUUUUGUUGGUUUCUAGGAUCACCGUAAUGAUUAAUAGGGAUAGUUGGGGGCAUUAGUAUUCAAUUGUCAGAGGUGAAAUUCUUGGAUUUAUUGAAGACUAACUACUGCGAAAGCAUUUGCCAAGGAUGUUUUCAUUAAUCAAGAACGAAAGUUAGGGGAUCGAAGACGAUCAGAUACCGUCGUAGUCUUAACCAUAAACUAUGCCGACUAGGAAUCAGACGAUGUUAAUUUUUUAGUGACUCGUUUGGC
This 520-nucleotide ribosomal RNA is filed under the name uncultured Entrophospora. RNAcentral describes it as "SSU rRNA". It matches the Rfam family "Eukaryotic small subunit ribosomal RNA", at positions 569 to 1084 of the family's 1831-position model. The record is from RNAcentral. Lineage: Eukaryota; Fungi; Glomeromycota; Glomeromycetes; Entrophosporales; Entrophosporaceae.